UACGUAGGGUGCGAGCGUUAAUCGGAAUUACUGGGCGUAAAGCGUGCGCAGGCGGUUUUGUAAGCCAGAUGUGAAAGCCCCGGGCUUAACCUGGGAAUGGCAUUUGGGACUGCAAGGCUUGAGUGCGGCAGAGGAGACUGGAAUUCCUGGUGUAGCGGUGAAAUGCGCAGAUAUCAGGAGGAACACCGGUGGCGAAGGCGGGUCUCUGGGCAGUAACUGACGCUGAGGAGCGAAAGCGUGGGGAGCGAACAGG
RNAcentral lists this ribosomal RNA (253 nucleotides) under uncultured bacterium. RNAcentral describes it as "partial 16S ribosomal RNA". It matches the Rfam family "Bacterial small subunit ribosomal RNA", at positions 524 to 776 of the family's 1533-position model. The record is from RNAcentral.